This 688-nucleotide long non-coding RNA is filed under the name Musa acuminata (dwarf banana). RNAcentral describes it as "long non-coding RNA (MACU_LNC002250)". Lineage: Eukaryota; Viridiplantae; Streptophyta; Magnoliopsida; Zingiberales; Musaceae. The record is from RNAcentral.
UAUAUAUUUAUUUAUUUAUAUAUAUGUAUAUAUAUGUUUUGUAUUACACUGAUACAAGUUCUAUUGCUGCUAGUUAGAUACUACUAACUCCUGUGAGAGGAAGUGGAUAGUUAUAACUCUUACUCUCUUUUGCUGUUAGCCAUCUCCUUGGCUUCUUGUCUCCAAGUUAGUUGUAAAAUUUUUGUCACAUCGGCAACUAAUGCUUGUAAAUUUGUCUUGUAAUGAUAUGGUGGUGUUGACAUGCUUCUUUCUGAUCACAUCUAUAUUACAAGCUUCCUUCCAGAUUCUCUUGCUAUUGUCUUUGCGAGUCCGAAAUGUGCCACCUGAUGAACUUCUUUGGAAAUGUUGUAGACUACCACCUGAUGAACUUCUUUGGAAAUGUUGUAGACUAUGUUUUGAUCAUAGAUUAUGCUUCAAUCAAUCUUUUUUUUAUAUUCUGUCAUAAAUUGUUCAAAGGAUGGGCUUAUUAUGUUUUGAUCUAGAAUUUGAGAUUUCUUGUACAAUUAUUUAUUUAUUUAUCAGAUAUGCAUCAUGCUAGAGGCUGAAUUAUUUGCAUUGCUUUCUUUUGUGAGAAAUGGUAUUGAAUCUUGUAUACUUUGCAUUUAAUUUUGUUGCUGACUGGUUAUGCCUCUGUUCUGUAGUUAUAUGUUUUUUCGUCGAAACUGAAAUUUUCUUUGUGCAAUUUUAG